GUACCAGGGGUGCUGAUUCUUGUGAAUCGGCUGAGACGGCGUGUUGCCGAACCCUUUUAACCUGUAUCUAGACAAUACUAGCGUAGGGAGAGUCUUAUGUU
This 101-nucleotide non-coding RNA is filed under the name zebrafish metagenome. RNAcentral describes it as "TPP riboswitch (THI element)". The stretch from base 5 to 90 matches the Rfam family "TPP riboswitch aptamer (THI element)", at positions 10 to 89 of the family's 105-position model. Rfam says of the family: Vitamin B(1) in its active form thiamin pyrophosphate (TPP) is an essential coenzyme that is synthesised by coupling of pyrimidine and thiazole moieties in bacteria. The previously detected thiamin-regulatory element, thi box was extended, resulting in a new, highly conserved RNA secondary structure, the THI element, which is widely distributed in eubacteria and also occurs in some archaea. The record is from RNAcentral.